UACCAGCACCCCGAGUGGUCGGGACGAUUAUUGGGCCUAAAGCAUCCGUAGCCGGUUCUACAAGUCUUCCGUUAAAUCCACCUGCUCAACAGAUGGGCUGCGGAGGAUACUAUAGAGCUAGGAGGCGGGAGAGGCAAGCGGUACUUAGUGGGUAGGGGUAAAAUCCGUUGAUCCAGUGAAGACCACCAGUGGCGAAGGCGGCUUGCCAGAACGCACUCGACGGUGAGGGAUGAAAGCUGGGGGAGCAAACCGG
This 253-nucleotide ribosomal RNA is filed under the name uncultured bacterium. RNAcentral describes it as "partial 16S ribosomal RNA". It matches the Rfam family "Archaeal small subunit ribosomal RNA", at positions 474 to 727 of the family's 1478-position model. The record is from RNAcentral.